This 129-nucleotide ribosomal RNA is filed under the name Thermoactinomyces daqus. RNAcentral's name for it is "partial 16S ribosomal RNA". It matches the Rfam family "Bacterial small subunit ribosomal RNA", at positions 1 to 127 of the family's 1533-position model. The record is from RNAcentral. Lineage: Bacteria; Bacillati; Bacillota; Bacilli; Caryophanales; Thermoactinomycetaceae.
UUUAUCGGAGAGUUUGAUCCUGGCUCAGGAUGAACGCUGGCGGCGUGCCUAAUACAUGCAAGUCGUGCGGGGGGAGAUCCUUCGGGAUCGGACCCAGCGGCGAACGGGUGAGUAACACGUGGGCAACCU